RNAcentral lists this ribosomal RNA (437 nucleotides) under uncultured bacterium. RNAcentral's name for it is "partial 16S ribosomal RNA". It matches the Rfam family "Bacterial small subunit ribosomal RNA", at positions 29 to 507 of the family's 1533-position model. The record is from RNAcentral.
AGCGAACGCUGGCGGCAGGCUUAACACAUGCAAGUCGAGCGGGCACCUUUCGGGGUGUCAGCGGCGGACGGGUGAGUAACGCGUGGGAACGUGCCCUCUGGUUCGGAAUAACUCAGGGAAACUUGAGCUAAUACCGGAUACGCCCUUUUGGGGAAAGGCUUGCUGCCGGAGGAUCGGCCCGCGUCUGAUUAGCUAGUUGGUGAGGUAACGGCUCACCAAGGCGACGAUCAGUAGCUGGUCUGAGAGGAUGAUCAGCCACACUGGGACUGAGACACGGCCCAGACUCCCACGGGAGGCAGCAGUGGGGAAUAUUGGACAAUGGGCGCAAGCCUGAUCCAGCCAUGCCGCGUGAGUGAUGAAGGCCUUAGGGUUGUAAAGCUCUUUUAUCCGGGACGAUAAUGACGGUACCGGAGGAAUAAGCCCCGGCUAACUUCGUG